CUUAAGUGGGGAAUAACGCAUCGAAAGGUGUGCUAAUACCGCAUAAUCUCUGAGGAGAAAAGCAGGGGAUCGCAAGACCUUGCGCUUUUGGAGCGGCCGAUGCCUGAUUAGCUUGUUGGUGAGGUAAAAGCUCACCAAGGCUUCGAUCAGUAGCUGGUCUGAGAGGACGACCAGCCACACUGGGACUGAGACACGGCCCAGACUCCUACGGGAGGCAGCAGUGGGGAAUUUUGGACAAUGGGGGCAACCCUGAUCCAGCCAUGCCGCGUGAGUGAAAAAGGCCUUCGGGUUGUAAAGCUCUUUCAGCCGGAACGAAACGGUCACGGUUAAUACCCGUGACUACUGACGGUACCGGAAGAAGAAGCACCGGCUAACUACGUGCCAGCAGCCGCGGUAAUACGUAGGGUGCGAGCGUUAAUCGGAAUUACUGGGCGUAAAGCGUGCGCAGGUGGUUUUGUAAGUCAGAUGUGAAAUCCCCGGGCUUAACCUGGGAACUGCGUUUGAAACUGCAAGGCUAGAGUGUGGCAGAGGGGGGUGGAAUUCCGCGUGUAGCAGUGAAAUGCGUAGAGAUGUGGAGGAACACCGAUGGCGAAGGCAGCCCCCUGGGUCAACACUGACGCUCAGGCACGAAAGCAUGGGGAGCAAACAGGAUUAGAUACCCUGGUAGUCCAUGCCCUAAACGAUGUCAACUAGUUGUCGGGUCUUAACGGGCUUGGUAACGUAGCUAACGCGUGAAGUUGACCGCCUGGGGAGUACGAUCGCAAGAUUAAAACUCAAAGGAAUUGACGGGGACCCGCACAAGCGGUGGAUUAUGUGGAUUAAUUCGAUGCAACGCGAAAAACCUUACCUACCCUUGACAUGUAUUGAAACCCGCAGAGAUGUGGGUGUGCCCGAAAGGGAACGAUAACACAGGUGCUGCAUGGCUGUCGUCAGCUCGUGUCGUGAGAUGUUGGGUUAAGUCCCGCAACGAGCGCAACCCUUGUCAUUAAUUGCCAUCAUUUAGUUGGGCACUUUAAUGAGACUGCCGGUGACAAACCGGAGGAAGGUGGGGAUGACGUCAAGUCCUCAUGGCCCUUAUGGGUAGGGCUUCACACGUAA
RNAcentral lists this ribosomal RNA (1098 nucleotides) under uncultured ammonia-oxidizing bacterium. RNAcentral describes it as "bacterial SSU rRNA". It matches the Rfam family "Bacterial small subunit ribosomal RNA", at positions 131 to 1225 of the family's 1533-position model. The record is from RNAcentral.